GGAGUUGGCCAGACAAUCGCUGUUUUUUGAAACAGAGGAAAGUCCGGGCUCCUUCGGACAGGGCGCCAGGUAACACCUGGGGGGCGCAAGCCCAUGGAAAGUGCCACAGAAAACAAACCGCCAGGCUCGCCUGGUAAGGGUGAAAAGGUGCGGUAAGAGCGCACCGCGCGACUGGUAACAGUUCGCGGCACGGUAAACCCCGCCCGGAGCAAGACCAAAUAGGGGAGUGCGCGGCUUAAUCGCCGCACCGCCGGUCCCGAGCGGACUCCCGGGUAGGUUGCUAGAGAUAGCCGGUGACGGCUAUCGCAGAUGAAUGAUUGUCCUCGACAGAACCCGGCUUAUUGCUAGCUCCGGCC
RNAcentral lists this RNase P RNA (356 nucleotides) under Gammaproteobacteria bacterium. Its description in RNAcentral is "RNase P RNA component class A". It matches the Rfam family "Bacterial RNase P class A". Rfam says of the family: Ribonuclease P (RNase P) is a ubiquitous endoribonuclease, found in archaea, bacteria and eukarya as well as chloroplasts and mitochondria. The record is from RNAcentral. Lineage: Bacteria; Pseudomonadati; Pseudomonadota; Gammaproteobacteria.